This 460-nucleotide ribosomal RNA is filed under the name uncultured bacterium. Its description in RNAcentral is "partial 16S ribosomal RNA". It matches the Rfam family "Bacterial small subunit ribosomal RNA", at positions 338 to 795 of the family's 1533-position model. The record is from RNAcentral.
CCUACGGGUGGCAGCAGUGAGGAAUAUUGGGCAAUGGGCGUAAGCCUGAACCAGCCAAGCCGCGUGAGGGAUGAAGGUUCUAUGGAUCGUAAACCUCUUUUGUAAGGGAAUAAAGUCCGGGACGUGUCCCGCUGUGCAUGUACCUUACGAAUAAGGAUCGGCUAACUCCGUGCCAGCAGCCGCGGUAAUACGGAGGAUCCGAGCGUUAUCCGGAUUUAUUGGGUUUAAAGGGUGCGCAGGGGGGCUUUUAAGUCAGCGGGGAAAGUCCGGGGCUCAACCCUGGACUUGCCGUUGAAACUGGCAGGCUGGAGUGGGUGAGAGGAAGGCGGAAGGCGCGGUGUAGCGGUGAAAUGCGUAGAUAUCGCGCAGAACCCCGAUUGCGAAGGCAGCAUGCCGGGUCAUGACUGACGCUGAGGCACGAAAGCGUGGGUAUCAAACAGGAUUAGAUACCCUAGUAGUC